AAUGAACGCUGGCGGCAUGCCUAACACAUGCAAGUCGAACGAGACCUUCGGGUCUAGUGGCGCACGGGUGCGUAACGCGUGGGAAUCUGCCCCUUGGUUCGGAAUAACUCAGAGAAAUUUGAGCUAAUACCGGAUAAUGACGUAAGUCCAAAGAUUUAUCGCCUAGGGAUGAGCCCGCGUAGGAUUAGCUAGUUGGUGGGGUAAAAGCCUACCAAGGCGACGAUCCUUAGCUGGUCGAGAGGAUGAUCAGCCACACUGGGACUGAGACACGGCCCAGACUCCUACGGGAGGCAGCAGUGGGGAAUAUUGGACAAUGGGCGAAAGCCUGAUCCAGCAAUGCCGCGUGAGUGAUGAAGGCCUUAGGGUUGUAAAGCUCUUUUACCGGGAAGAUAAUGACUGUACCGGGAGAAUAAGCCCCGGCUAACUCCGUGCCAGCCGCCGCAGUAAU
This 448-nucleotide ribosomal RNA is filed under the name uncultured bacterium. RNAcentral describes it as "bacterial SSU rRNA". It matches the Rfam family "Bacterial small subunit ribosomal RNA", at positions 29 to 524 of the family's 1533-position model. The record is from RNAcentral.